AACUCCAAUAGCGUAUGUUAAAGUUGUUGCGGCUGGAAAGCUCGUAGUUGGAUUUCUGCCGAGGACGACCGGUCCGCCCUCAAGGUGAGAAUCUGGCUCGGCCUGGGCAUCUGCUUGGAGAACGUAGCUGCACUUGAUUGUGUGGUGCGGUAUCCAGGACUUUUACUUUUAGGAAAUUAGAAUGUUGCAAGCAAGCACACGCCUUGAAUACAUUAGCACGGAAUAGUAAGAUAGGACCUCGGAUCUAUUUUGUUGGUUUCUAGCGCUGAGGUAACGAUUAAUAGGGAUAGUUGGUGGCAUUCGUAUUUAAUUGUCGGAAGUAAAAUUCUUGGAUUUGUUCAAGACGGACUACUGCGAAAGUAUUUGCCAAGGAUGUUUUCA
This 381-nucleotide ribosomal RNA is filed under the name uncultured eukaryote. Its description in RNAcentral is "SSU rRNA". It matches the Rfam family "Eukaryotic small subunit ribosomal RNA", at positions 587 to 972 of the family's 1831-position model. The record is from RNAcentral.